This 207-nucleotide ribosomal RNA is filed under the name uncultured bacterium. RNAcentral describes it as "partial 16S ribosomal RNA". It matches the Rfam family "Bacterial small subunit ribosomal RNA", at positions 568 to 774 of the family's 1533-position model. The record is from RNAcentral.
CGUGUAGGCGGUUUAUUAAGUCAGAUGUGAAAGCCCACGGCUUAACCGUGGAACUGCAUUUGAUACUGAUAGGCUUGAGUAUGAGAAGGGGUAGUGGAAUUCCCAGUGUAGCGGUGAAAUGCGUAGAUAUUGGGAAGAACACCAGUAGCGAAGGCGACUACCUGGCUCAUUACUGACGCUAAUGCGCGAAAGCGCGGGGAGCAAACA